UUGACCGUAAAGCUCCUAGGUUUCUCAACUCAUAGAGAAAGUUAAAUCCUAGACAUAAGAAAUGGAUGGAGUUCCUUCAAUCAUACACCUUUGUAUUGAAACACUAUAUCGAUGUUAAUAAUCAUGCUGUGGAUACACUCUCUCAUAGGGUGGAUCCUUAUCAGCAGUAGUUAUUGAUAAGAAUUGAACUACUAAUGCACUCCAUCAAAGAGUGGACCUUCUAUGAGUAGUGAAUGUUAAAACCAUCGGCAUUGAGAAAUUGAAAGAGGAUUAUGAUGAC
Molecule: long non-coding RNA, 280 nt
Filed under: Elaeis guineensis (African oil palm)
Lineage: Eukaryota; Viridiplantae; Streptophyta; Magnoliopsida; Arecales; Arecaceae
Description: long non-coding RNA (EGUI_LNC077860)
Source: RNAcentral